Hordeum vulgare subsp. vulgare (domesticated barley) is the source of this 139-nucleotide non-coding RNA. NCBI's taxonomy places the organism in Eukaryota, Viridiplantae, Streptophyta, Magnoliopsida, Poales, Poaceae. The record is from Rfam.
CCGCUUCCUGAGGAUGAGCUCAUCUCCUACAUCCUCGCCGGGCUGGACAUGGAGUACCAACCCCUCAUCUCCGCCCUGGACGCUGGCACCGAGCCCAUCACCCUUGAUGAUCUGUUUGCUCAGAUGAGUAACUUCGAUC